UUACUUCUUAGUAGCGAAGUUAACGCGUUAAGUUCUCCGCCUGGGGAGUAUGGCCGCAAGGUUAAAACUCAAAGAAAUUGACGGGGGCCCGCACAAGCGGUGGAGCAUGUGGUUUAAUUCGAUGCAACGCGAAAAACCUUACCUACCCUUGACAUCCUCGGAACUUGUCAGAGAUGAUUUGGUGCCUUCGGGAACCGAGAGACAGGUGCUGCAUGGCUGUCGUCAGCUCGUGUCGUGAGAUGUUGGGUUAAGUCCCGUAACGAGCGCAACCCUCGUCCUUAGUUGCCAGUGAGUCAUGUCGGGAACUCUAAGGAGACCGCCGGCGAUAAACCGGAGGAAGGUGGGGAUGAUGUCAAGUCAUCAUGGCCCUUACGGGUAGGGCUACACACGUGCUACAAUGGGCAGUACAAAGGGUUGCCAAGCCGCGAGGUGGAGCUAAUCCCAGAAAACUGCUCGUAGUCCGGAUUGGAGUCUGCAACUCGACUCCAUGAAGUUGGAAUCGCUAGUAAUCGCGAAUCAGCAUGUCGCGGUGAAUACGUUCUCGGGCCUUGUACACACCGCCCGUCACACCAUGGGAGU
RNAcentral lists this ribosomal RNA (579 nucleotides) under Coxiella-like endosymbiont. RNAcentral describes it as "bacterial SSU rRNA". It matches the Rfam family "Bacterial small subunit ribosomal RNA", at positions 833 to 1411 of the family's 1533-position model. Lineage: Bacteria; Pseudomonadati; Pseudomonadota; Gammaproteobacteria; Legionellales; Coxiellaceae. The record is from RNAcentral.